GGAGUUAGCCGGUGCUUCUUCUGCGAGUAACGUCACAGAUGUAAGGUAUUAACUUACACCCUUUCCUCCUCGCUGAAAGUGCUUUACAACCCGAAGGCCUUCUUCACACACGCGGCAUGGCUGCAUCAGGGUUUCCCCCAUUGUGCAAUAUUCCCCACUGCUGCCUCCCGUAGGAGUCUGGGCCGUGUCUCAGUCCCAGUGUGGCUGAUCAUCCUCUCAGACCAGCUAGGGAUCGUCGCCUAGGUGAGCCUUUACCUCACCUACUAGCUAAUCCCACCUGGGCUUAUCCAUCAGCGCAAGGCCCGAAGGUCCCCUGCUUUCCCCCGUAGGGCGUAUGCGGUAUUAGCAGUCGUUUCCAACUGUUAUCCCCCACAAAUGGGCAAAUUCCCAGGCAUUACUCACCCGUCCGCCGCUCGUCAUCUUCAAAAGCAAGCUUUUGAAAUGUUACCGCUCGACUUGCAUGUNUUAGGCCUGCCGCCAGCGUUCAAUCUGAGCCAGAUANACAACUCAUACGAGCGGCGGUCGCGACGACGC
This 534-nucleotide ribosomal RNA is filed under the name uncultured bacterium. RNAcentral's name for it is "partial 16S ribosomal RNA". The record is from RNAcentral.